GACGAACGCUGGCGGCGUGCUUAACACAUGCAAGUCGAACGGAAAGGCCCUGCUUUUGUGGGGUGCUCGAGUGGCGAACGGGUGAGUAACACGUGAGUAACCUGCCCUUGACUUUGGGAUAACUUCAGGAAACUGGGGCUAAUACCGGAUAGGAGCUCCUGCUGCAUGGUGGGGGUUGGAAAGUUUCGGCGGUUGGGGAUGGACUCGCGGCUUAUCAGCUUGUUGGUGGGGUAGUGGCUUACCAAGGCUUUGACGGGUAGCCGGCCUGAGAGGGUGACCGGCCACAUUGGGACUGAGAUACGGCCCAGACUCCUACGGGAGGCAGCAGUGGGGAAUAUUGCACAAUGGGCGGAAGCCUGAUGCAGCAACGCCGCGUGCGGGAUGACGGCCUUCGGGUUGUAAACCGCUUACGCCUGUGACGGAGCGUGAGUGACGGUAAUGGGUAAAGAAGCACCGGCUAACUACGUG
This 468-nucleotide ribosomal RNA is filed under the name uncultured bacterium. RNAcentral describes it as "partial 16S ribosomal RNA". It matches the Rfam family "Bacterial small subunit ribosomal RNA", at positions 28 to 507 of the family's 1533-position model. The record is from RNAcentral.